GACGAACGCGGGCGGCGUGCCUAAUACAUGCAAGUAGAACGCACAGUUUAUACCGUAGCGUGCUACACCAUAAACUGUGAGUUGCGAACGGGUGAGUAACGCGUAGGUAACCUGCCUGGUAGCGGGGGAUAACUAUUGGAAACGAUAGCUAAUACCGCAUAAUAUUAAUUAUUGCAUGAUAAUUGAUUGAAAGAUGCAACUGCAUCACUACCAGAUGGACCUGCGUUGUACUAGCUAGUAGGUGAGGUAACGGCUCACCUAGGCGACGAUACAUAGCCGACCUGAGAGGGUGAUCGGCCACACUGGGACUGAGACACGGCCCAGACUCCUACGGGAGGCAGCAGUAGGGAAUCUUCGGCAAUGGACGAAAGUCUGACCGAGCAACGCCGCGUGAGUGAAGAAGGUUUUCGGAUCGUAAAGCUCUGUUGUAAGAGAAGAACGGGUGUGAGAGUGGAAAGUUCACACUGUGACGGUAUCUUACCAGAAAGGGACGGCUAACUACGUGCCAGCAGACGCGGUAAUACGUAGGUCCCGAGCGUUGUCCGGAUUUAUUGGGCGUAAAGCGAGCGCAGGCGGUUAGAUAAGUCUGAAGUUAAAGGCUGUGGCUUAACCAUAGUACGCUUUGGAAACUGUUUAACUUGAGUGCAGAAGGGGAGAGUGGAAUUCCAUGUGUAGCGGUGAAAUGCGUAGAUAUAUGGAGGAACACCGGUGGCGAAAGCGGCUCUCUGGUCUGUAACUGACGCUGAGGCUCGAAAGCGUGGGGAGCGAACAGG
RNAcentral lists this ribosomal RNA (773 nucleotides) under uncultured Streptococcus sp. RNAcentral's name for it is "bacterial SSU rRNA". It matches the Rfam family "Bacterial small subunit ribosomal RNA", at positions 28 to 776 of the family's 1533-position model. The record is from RNAcentral. Lineage: Bacteria; Bacillati; Bacillota; Bacilli; Lactobacillales; Streptococcaceae.